Molecule: ribosomal RNA, 298 nt
Filed under: uncultured bacterium
Lineage: Bacteria
Description: partial 16S ribosomal RNA
Rfam family: Bacterial small subunit ribosomal RNA
Source: RNAcentral
UGGCUCAGAACGAACGCUGGCGGCAUGCCUUACACAUGCAAGUAGAACGGCAGCAUGGAGGAGCUUGCUCCUCUGAUGGCGAGUGGCGAACGGGUGAGUAAAGCAUCGGAACGUGCCGUGUAGUGGGGGAUAACGUAGCGAAAGUUACGCUAAUACCGCAUACGCACCGAGGUGGAAAGCAGGGGAUCGCAAGACCUUGCGCUAUACGAGCGGCCGAUGUCAGAUUAGCUAGUUGGUAGGCUAAAGGCCUACCAGGGAGACGAUCUGUAGCGGGUCUGAGAGGAUGAUCCGCCACACU